This 369-nucleotide non-coding RNA is filed under the name Lasius niger. RNAcentral's name for it is "Eukaryotic large subunit ribosomal RNA". It matches the Rfam family "Eukaryotic large subunit ribosomal RNA", at positions 1977 to 2318 of the family's 3401-position model. The record is from Rfam by way of RNAcentral. Lineage: Eukaryota; Metazoa; Arthropoda; Insecta; Hymenoptera; Formicidae.
UUAUAUUAAUAUACUAAAAGAUUAGGUUAGAAUAAGUUGAGCUUAACGACAUAUAUUUAAUUAGAAAUUUUUAAUUAGAAUUUUCUCUCUUUUUUUUCCUUGCUGCGAGGCUUUCGUGACGGCACAAGCCGUCGUGGUCUUCUUCAGCCCUCAUUCAACGCUUAGCUCAGAACUGGCACGAAUUAGGGGAAUCCGACUGUCUAAUUAAAACAAAGCAUUGCGAUGGUCCUCGCGGGUGUUGACGCAAUGUGAUUUCUGCCCAGUGCUCUCAGAAUAUCAACGUGAAGAAAUUCAAGCAAGCGCGGGUAAACGGCGGGAGCAACUAUGACUCUCUUAAGGGAGAGCAUAGUUGAGACGCAAUGCGCAUUA